RNAcentral lists this ribosomal RNA (492 nucleotides) under uncultured bacterium. RNAcentral's name for it is "partial 16S ribosomal RNA". It matches the Rfam family "Bacterial small subunit ribosomal RNA", at positions 29 to 507 of the family's 1533-position model. The record is from RNAcentral.
AGUGAACGCUGGCGGUAGGCCUAACACAUGCAAGUCGAACGGCAGCACAGUAAGAGCUUGCUCUUACGGGUGGCGAGUGGCGGACGGGUGAGGAAUACAUCGGAAUCUACUUUUUCGUGGGGGAUAACGUAGGGAAACUUACGCUAAUACCGCAUACGACCUACGGGUGAAAGCAGGGGAUCUUCGGACCUUGCGCGAUUGAAUGAGCCGAUGUCGGAUUAGCUAGUUGGCGGGGUAAAGGCCCACCAAGGCGACGAUCCGUAGCUGGUCUGAGAGGAUGAUCAGCCACACGGGAACUGAGACACGGUCCAGACUCCUACGGGAGGCAACAGUGGGGAAUAUUAGACAAUGGGCGCAAGCCUGAUCCAGCCAUACCGCGUGGGUGAAGAAGGCCUUCGGGUUGGAAAGCCCUUUUGUUGGGAAAGAAAAGCAGCAGGUUAAUACCCCGCUGUUCUGACGGUACCCAAAGAAUAAGCACCGGCUAACUUCGUG